This 484-nucleotide ribosomal RNA is filed under the name uncultured bacterium. RNAcentral describes it as "partial 16S ribosomal RNA". It matches the Rfam family "Bacterial small subunit ribosomal RNA", at positions 30 to 507 of the family's 1533-position model. The record is from RNAcentral.
AUUGAACGCUGGCGGCAGGCCUAACACAUGCAAGUCGAGCGGAUGAAGGGAGCUUGCUCCUGGAUUCAGCGGCGGACGGGUGAGUAAUGCCUAGGAAUCUGCCUGGUAGUUGGGGAUAACGUCCGGAAACGGGCGCUAAUACCGCAUACGUCCUGAGGGAGAAAGUGGGGGAUCUUCGGACCUCACGCUAUCAGAUGAGCCUAGGUCGGAUUAGCUAGUGGGUGGGGUAAAGGCCUACCAAGGCGACGAUCCGUAACUGGUCUGAGAGGAUGAUCAGUCACACUGGAACUGAGACACGGUCCAGACUCCUACGGGAGGCAGCAGUGGGGAAUAUUGGACAAUGGGCGAAAGCCUGAUCCAGCCAUGCCGCGUGUGUGAAGAAGGUCUUCGGAUUGUAAAGCACUUUAAGUUGGGAGGAAGGGCAGUAAGUUAAUACCUUGCUGUUUUGACGUUACCAACAGAAUAAGCACCGGCUAACUUCGUG